UUAAUGCCUUAGGAUUUUGCCUUGGUUAGUGGGGAUAAACGUUUCGGAAACGGACGCUAAUACCGCAUACGUCCUACGGGAGAAAGCAGGGGACCUUCGGGCCUUGCGCUAUCAGAUGAGCNUAGGUCGGAUUAGCUAGUUGGUGGGGUAAUGGCUCACCAAGGCGACGAUCCGUAACUGGUCUGAGAGGAUGAUCAGUCACACUGGAACUGAGACACGGUCCAGACUCCUACGGGAGGCAGCAGUGGGGAAUAUUGGACAAUGGGCGAAAGCCUGAUCCAGCCAUGCCGCGUGUGUGAAGAAGGUCUUCGGAUUGUAAAGCACUUUAAGUUGGGAGGAAGGGUUGUAGAUUAAUACUCUGCAAUUUUGACGUUACCGACAG
RNAcentral lists this ribosomal RNA (382 nucleotides) under uncultured bacterium. RNAcentral's name for it is "bacterial SSU rRNA". It matches the Rfam family "Bacterial small subunit ribosomal RNA", at positions 110 to 484 of the family's 1533-position model. The record is from RNAcentral.